CCUACGGGAGGCAGCAGUGAGGAAUAUUGGUCAAUGGUCGGGAGACUGAACCAGCCAAGCCGCGUGAGGGAUGAAGGUACAGAGUAUCGUAAACCUCUUUUGUCAGGGAACAAAGGCGGGGACGUGUCCCCGGAUGAGUGUACCUGAAGAAAAAGCAUCGGCUAACUCCGUGCCAGCAGCCGCGGUAAUACGGAGGAUGCGAGCGUUAUCCGGAUUUAUUGGGUUUAAAGGGUGCGCAGGCGGUCUGUUAAGUCAGCGGUAAAAGCCCGGGGCGAAACCCCGGCCCGCCGUUGAAACUGGCAGUCUCGAGUUGGAGAGAAGUAUGCGGAAUGCGUGGUGUAGCGGUGAAAUGCAUAGAUAUCGCGCAGAACUCCGAUUGCGAAGGCAGCAUGCCGGCUCCACACUGACGCUGAGGCACGAAAGCGUGGGUAUCGAACAGGAUUAGAUACCCCAGUAGUC
Molecule: ribosomal RNA, 459 nt
Filed under: uncultured bacterium
Lineage: Bacteria
Description: partial 16S ribosomal RNA
Rfam family: Bacterial small subunit ribosomal RNA
Source: RNAcentral